GGUGACGUAGCUCAACGGAAGAGCGGUGGCCCGAAAAGCCGCGGCGUUGCUGGUUCGACUCCAGCCGUCACCACCA
This 76-nucleotide transfer RNA is filed under the name Planctomycetota bacterium. RNAcentral's name for it is "tRNA-Phe". It matches the Rfam family "tRNA". Rfam says of the family: Transfer RNA (tRNA) molecules are approximately 80 nucleotides in length. Their secondary structure includes four short double-helical elements and three loops (D, anti-codon, and T loops). Lineage: Bacteria; Pseudomonadati; Planctomycetota. The record is from RNAcentral.